Molecule: ribosomal RNA, 824 nt
Filed under: uncultured bacterium
Lineage: Bacteria
Description: bacterial SSU rRNA
Rfam family: Bacterial small subunit ribosomal RNA
Source: RNAcentral
AGAGGGAGGUGGAAUUCCGCGUGUAGCAGUGAAAUGCGUAGAUAUGCGGAGGAACACCGAUGGCGAAGGCAGCCUCCUGGGAUAACACUGACGCUCAUGCACGAAAGCGUGGGGAGCAAACAGGAUUAGAUACCCUGGUAGUCCACGCCCUAAACGAUGUCAACUAGCUGUUGGGGCCUUCGGGCCUUGGUAGCGCAGCUAACGCGUGAAGUUGACCGCCUGGGGAGUACGGUCGCAAGAUUAAAACUCAAAGGAAUUGACGGGGACCCGCACAAGCGGUGGAUGAUGUGGAUUAAUUCGAUGCAACGCGAAAAACCUUACCUACCCUUGACAUGUCUGGAAUCCUGAAGAGAUUUGGGAGUGCUCGCAAGAGAACCGGAACACAGGUGCUGCAUGGCUGUCGUCAGCUCGUGUCGGAGAUGUGGGUUAAGUCCCGCAACGAGCGCAACCCUUGUCAUUAGUUGCUACGAAAGGGCACUCUAAUGAGACUGCCGGUGACAAACCGGAGGAAGGUGGGGAUGACGUCAAGUCCUCAUGGCCCUUAUGGGUAGGGCUUCACACGUCAUACAAUGGUCGGGACAGAGGGUCGCCAACCCGCGAGGGGGAGCCAAUCCCAGAAACCCGAUCGUAGUCCGGAUCGCAGUCUGCAACUCGACUGCGUGAAGUCGGAAUCGCUAGUAAUCGCGGAUCAGCAUGUCGCGGUGAAUACGUUCCCGGGUCUUGUACACACCGCCCGUCACACCAUGGGAGUGGGUUUUACCAGAAGUAGUUAGCCUAACCGCAAGGAGGGCGAUUACCACGGUAGGAUUCAUGACUGGGGUGAA